GCGGGGGUGCCGGAGCUUGGUCAAACGGCUUAGGUUGAGGGCCUAAGGGCUUAGUGCCUGCGCGUGUUCAAAUCACGUCCCCCGCA
RNAcentral lists this transfer RNA (86 nucleotides) under archaeon CG10_big_fil_rev_8_21_14_0_10_43_11. Its description in RNAcentral is "tRNA-Leu". The record is from RNAcentral.